Molecule: ribosomal RNA, 425 nt
Filed under: uncultured bacterium
Lineage: Bacteria
Description: bacterial SSU rRNA
Rfam family: Bacterial small subunit ribosomal RNA
Source: RNAcentral
GGGGAAUUUUGGACAAUGGGGGAAACCCUGAUCCAGCCAUCCCGCGUGUGCGAUGAAGGCCUUCGGGUUGUAAAGCACUUUUGGCAGGGAAGAAAAGGCUCUGGUUAAUACCCGGAGCUGCUGACGGUACCUGCAGAAUAAGCACCGGCUAACUACGUGCCAGCAGCCGCGGUAAUACGUAGGGUGCAAGCGUUAAUCGGAAUUACUGGGCGUAAAGCGUGCGCAGGCGGUUUGGCAAGAAGGAUGUGAAAUCCCAGGGCUUAACCUUGGAACUGCAUUCUUAACUGCCAGGCUAGAGUAUGUCAGAGGGGGGUAGAAUUCCGCGUGUAGCAGUGAAAUGCGUAGAGAUGCGGAGGAAUACCGAUGGCGAAGGCAGCCCCCUGGGAUAAUACUGACGCUCAUGCACGAAAGCGUGGGGAGCAAAC